RNAcentral lists this ribosomal RNA (424 nucleotides) under uncultured prokaryote. RNAcentral describes it as "bacterial SSU rRNA". It matches the Rfam family "Bacterial small subunit ribosomal RNA", at positions 355 to 796 of the family's 1533-position model. The record is from RNAcentral.
UGGGGAAUAUUGGACAAUGGGGGCAACCCUGAUCCAGCCAUGCCGCGUGGGUGAAGAAGGCCUUAGGGUUGUAAAACCCUUUCAGCGGGGAAGAUGAUGACGGUACCCGCCGAAGAAACCCCGGCUAACUCCGUGCCAGCAGCCGCGGUAAUACGGAGGGGGUUAGCGUUGUUCGGAAUUACUGGGCGUAAAGCGCGCGUAGGCGGACUGUUAAGUCGGGGGUGAAAUCCCGGGGCUCAACCCCGGAACUGCCUUCGAUACUGGCAGUCUAGAGUUCGAGAGAGGUGAGUGGAAUUCCGAGUGUAGAGGUGAAAUUCGUAGAUAUUCGGAGGAACACCAGUGGCGAAGGCGGCUCACUGGCUCGAUACUGACGCUGAGGUGCGAAAGUGUGGGGAGCAAACAGGAUUAGAUACCCGCGUAGUCC